Cajanus cajan (pigeon pea) is the source of this 769-nucleotide non-coding RNA. The record is from RefSeq and is a predicted model, not a curated record. NCBI's taxonomy places the organism in Eukaryota, Viridiplantae, Streptophyta, Magnoliopsida, Fabales, Fabaceae.
UAAAUAUUGAGGCAGUUUAGUAGAGUUGUCGCAAUGUAUAAAGAAUGAGCCACAAAACGAAAAGCUUCAAUUUUGUUCGCGCCUGUUUCACUGAAAUGCUCCGUUUUCACAAAACCCUCCUCCUUCAUUGAGACCGCAGCCCACCCCGCCGCACUGCGCACAUUGUUGACUACGCUCCUCUACAACAAAAGCUAUUGCGCUCCUCUACAACACAAGAGCUAUUCCACUCCUCUACAGCACAAAACCCUGGUCCUAGCUGUUCAGGAGAAUAGUGGACAAUUUCAGGGAAUUGGAGUCUACAAAUUCCCUACUGGAGUUGUUGAGCAGGAAGAGGAUAUUUUUGUAGUAGCAGUAAGAGAGGUCAAAGAAGAAACAGGGUUAUUUGAGAAAGUUAAGGCAUUAUAAGAAGUCUGCAUUUUGAAGCAUGUUAUUACCAGGCAAUUGAAGCAGCUAUAGAACUGAAUCUUAAAACAGUAGAGGCGGGAGCUCAGGGUGAACACAAGAUUUAACGUGGAUAUCUUCCUGUGACAACUUUUAGCUGUCAUUACCUUGUUGAUGAAGAAUUUAGGGAAGCUAUACAAGAAUUUUUAAUACGUGAAGCUUCCCAGGCACCUGACUUGGAAUCACCCAGAAAUGGAAAGCCUUCCUCUGAAGGGAGUCAUAUUCCUGAAGGCCAUGACUUAGAUUCACCUAGCACUGUUUAGUUUAUUUUUUGCUUUUAAUUUAUGCACUCUAAUUAAGAAAUUUAAAUACAUACUUCUAUGUUUUC